AUGGCACCUGGGAAAGGCGAGCUGGGCAGUGUGGCCCUUAGGGGACAGAGCCCAGGCCCCCAGAAACACUGGCCCCUCCUGCUGCUGGGCCUGACCGUGGGCGCCCAUGGCCUGCUGCCUUCCCCAGAAGCACCCAGGACCACAGCCGUGGGCCCAGGACCCCCAGCAGGAAGUAGCUCCUGGAGCCUGUGGGACAGGUUUCUGCUCUGGCUCAACACCCAGAGGGCGGGCCCCAGGUGCUGGUCCAGCAGGCUGUGGCCCGAGUCAUGGUAUGUCUUUGGUGCAGGGACCCAGCUCUUCGUCCUCGGCCAGCCCAGUUCCACACCCGUGGUCACUCUGUUCCCACCCUCCUCGGAGGAACUCAGGAUCCACAAGGCCACGCUGGUAUGUCUGAUCAGUGACUUCUACCCCCGCACCCUGACGGUGGCCUGGAAGGCGGACAGCCGCCCCAUCACGCAGGGCGUGGUGACCUCGGAGCCCUUGCAGCAGAGAAACCUCAAGUAUGUGGCCAGCAGCUUCCUGAGCCUGUCCACGGAGCGGUGGCGCUCUCACCGCCAAAUCAGCUGUGAGAUCACACACCAGGGCGGAACCGUAAAGAAGACGGUGGCUGCCUCAGAAUGCCCAUAG
This is a non-coding RNA of Sorex araneus (European shrew), 627 nucleotides long. The record is from the annotation of a RefSeq genome assembly. Lineage: Eukaryota; Metazoa; Chordata; Mammalia; Eulipotyphla; Soricidae.